This 392-nucleotide ribosomal RNA is filed under the name uncultured bacterium. Its description in RNAcentral is "bacterial SSU rRNA". It matches the Rfam family "Bacterial small subunit ribosomal RNA", at positions 143 to 518 of the family's 1533-position model. The record is from RNAcentral.
AUAACAUCCGGAAACGGGUGCUAAUACCGCAUAGUUUUCUUGAUCGCAUGAUUGAGAAAGGAAAGACGGCCUUUGUGCUGUCGCUUAUGGAUGGACCCGCGGCGUAUUAGUUAGUUGGUGAGGUAACGGCUCACCAAGACGAUGAUACGUAGCCGACCUGAGAGGGUGAUCGGCCACAUUGGGACUGAGACACGGCCCAAACUCCUACGGGAGGCAGCAGUAGGGAAUCUUCCGCAAUGGACGAAAGUCUGACGGAGCAACGCCGCGUGAGUGAAGAAAGGUUUUCGGAUCGUAAAACUCUGUUGUCAGAGAAGAACAAGUUGGAGAGUAACUGCUCCAGCCUUGACGGUAUCUGACCAGAAAGCCACGGCUAACUACGUGCCAGCAGCCGC